Molecule: ribosomal RNA, 248 nt
Filed under: uncultured bacterium
Lineage: Bacteria
Description: partial 16S ribosomal RNA
Rfam family: Bacterial small subunit ribosomal RNA
Source: RNAcentral
CGACUGGCGACCGGCGCACGGGUGAGUAACACGUAUCCAACCUGCCUCAUACUCGGGGAUAGCCUUUCGAAAGAAAGAUUAAUACCCGAUGGCAUAAUUAGACCGCAUGGUCUUAUUAUUAAAGAAUUUCGGUUAUCGAUGGGGAUGCGUUCCAUUAGGCAGUUGGUGAGGUAACGGCUCACCAAACCUUCGAUGGAUAGGGGUUCUGAGAGGAAGGUCCCCCACAUUGGAACUGAGACACGGUCCAA